ACGAGAAGGAAAGGGAUCCCACUUACAGGGUGGUUAGUAGCUUUGGGGACUCUCUGGGAUCCCCUGUCUUAAUGAGAAGGCCAAAGGUGCAGGGUCAGGCCAAAGGACCGAGUUAAAUGAAGCUCUGAGCGCAGCCUCGAUCCCCGCGGCCCGGGMGGCAGAGGUGCCCAGGAGGACUAGCCGCGGGGCCGGGCGGGAAGCAGAAAAAUAUUUAUGGCCGCCCGGGCCAGGAGAGUGGGGAGAACUGCAGAGCGAAGGAAGCCGGGGUUUCUGCAGGCCCAGGGAAAGUUCCCUUCCUAGAGUCUUUUUWAAAAGAAGACGAAGGGAAGAGUUGAAGCGCCUUGAAUUUUCCUUCGGGAGCGUGGAGCCAAGCGGAUUUCCGCAAAGGAAGCGAAGACCACAGUCCAGGGUCCUGCAGUGUCCACCUCAUUCUCUCCAGGCCUCUCCACUUGCGCAGCUCUCAGCCACCCGGAGAUGACCGAAGGGGCUUCUGGGCUGCGUUGGGAGCUGACACUGCCCCCCGCCCAUUCCAGCUUGGCUUCCCAAAGUCCAGCGACCUCCAACCCUCCUUGGGGGAAAAAUUACCAGCACCCAGGCACAUUAGCCCCCUGUCCUGCGUGACCUGGUUUCCUUCAGAAAUAUUUUACCACGAAGAAGAAAGAACAGCUUGGAGCCCUGUUUACAUCUAGUUCUACUGAUCCAUUCACAUCUGGAGGGUUUAUUUAUAACACCCUCUAUAACUCUCUCUGUUUGGAAGCAGUGGUGGCUCUAUUGACAGACUGAUGUCUACAAAAUAUUGCUCUAUCUCUAACCAUACCUAAAUGUGCUGUGGUUGUAUUUACAGAUUUAUGCUUGAGGGAAAUAUAAUUAUUUCCAUUGUAUUUGUGCAUAUACAAUAGUUAUAGGAGCAGAUUUAUAUAUGGGAAAAUAUACGACUCUCUUAUAGCCAUACAGCUUUAUGGACAUUUGAUAUUCUGACAGAUUUAUAUCCCUGAGCAGCUAUAUAGAUAAAUGUAUAUCGUUAGAAUUA
This is a non-coding RNA of Urocitellus parryii (Arctic ground squirrel), 1030 nucleotides long. Lineage: Eukaryota; Metazoa; Chordata; Mammalia; Rodentia; Sciuridae. The record is from RefSeq and is a predicted model, not a curated record.